Molecule: ribosomal RNA, 524 nt
Filed under: uncultured bacterium
Lineage: Bacteria
Description: partial 16S ribosomal RNA
Rfam family: Bacterial small subunit ribosomal RNA
Source: RNAcentral
GACGAACGCUGGCGGCGUGCCUAAUACAUGCAAGUCGAACGAAGCUGUUUUAACUGGUGCUUGCACCGACUUAAACAACUGAGUGGCGAACGGGUGAGUAACACGUGGGUAACCUGCCCCAAAGCGGGGGAUAACAUUUGGAAGCAGAUGCUAAUACCGCAUAACCACAGAAACCACAUGGUUUCUGUGUCAAAGAUGGUUUCGGCUAUCACUUUGGGAUGGACCCGCGGCGUAUUAGCUAGUUGGUAAGGUAAUGGCUUACCAAGGAAAUGAUACGUAGCCGAACUGAGAGGUUGAUCGGCCACAUUGGGACUGAGACACGGCCCAAACUCCUACGGGAGGCAGCAGUAGGGAAUCUUCCACAAUGGACGAAAGUCUGAUGGAGCAACGCCGCGUGAGUGAAGAAGGUUUUCGGAUCGUAAAACUCUGUUGUCAGAGAAGAACGUGUGCGAGAGUAACUGUUCGUGCAGUGACGGUAUCUGGCCAGAAAGCCACGGCUAACUACGUGCCAGCAGCCGCCGUAA